AGACGGGACCCGCACAAGCGGUGGAUGAUGUGGAUUAAUUCGAUGCAACGCGAAAACCUUUACCUACCCUUGACAUGUCUGGAACCUUGCUGAGAGGCGAGGGUGCCUUCGGGAGCCAGAACACAGGUGCUGCAUGGCUGUCGUCAGCUCGUGUCGUGAGAUGUUGGGUUAAGUCCCGCAACGAGCGCAACCCUUGUCAUUAGUUGCCAUCAUUUAGUUGGGCACUCUAAUGAGACUGCCGGUGACAAACCGGAGGAAGGUGGGGAUGACGUCAAGUCCUCAUGGCCCUUAUGGGUAGGGCUUCACACGUCAUACAAUGGUCGGUACAGAGGGUCGCCAACCCGCGAGGGGGAGCUAAUCCCACAAAGCCGAUCGUAGUCCGGAUCGCAGUCUGCAACUCGACUGCGUGAAGUCGGAAUCGCUAGUAAUCGUGGAUCAGCAUGUCACGGUGAAUACGUUCCCGGGUCUU
RNAcentral lists this ribosomal RNA (469 nucleotides) under uncultured Thauera sp. Its description in RNAcentral is "bacterial SSU rRNA". It matches the Rfam family "Bacterial small subunit ribosomal RNA", at positions 916 to 1381 of the family's 1533-position model. Lineage: Bacteria; Pseudomonadati; Pseudomonadota; Betaproteobacteria; Rhodocyclales; Zoogloeaceae. The record is from RNAcentral.